RNAcentral lists this ribosomal RNA (333 nucleotides) under uncultured eukaryote. RNAcentral's name for it is "partial 18S ribosomal RNA". It matches the Rfam family "Eukaryotic small subunit ribosomal RNA", at positions 1470 to 1796 of the family's 1831-position model. The record is from RNAcentral.
CCCUUAGAUGUCCUGGGCUGCACGCGCGCUACACUGAUGUGUCCAGUAAGCACCUAACCUCUUCCGAAAGGAACGGGUAACCUUUGCAAAGCACAUCGUGAUGGGGAUAGAUUAUUGCAAUUAUUAGUCUUGAGCGAGGAAUUCCUAGUAAGCGCAAGUCAUCAACUUGCGUUGAUUACGUCCCUGCCCUUUGUACACACCGCCCGUCGCUACUGCCAACUGAGAUGGGUCCUGAAUUGUUAGGAACGCCCGUCAAGGGGCCUACCCGGUCCCUAGUGCGGUGACGAGAAUAACUGUAAAUGGCAUAUCUUGUAGGGAGUAAAAGUCGUAACA